This 325-nucleotide ribosomal RNA is filed under the name uncultured bacterium. RNAcentral's name for it is "bacterial SSU rRNA". It matches the Rfam family "Bacterial small subunit ribosomal RNA", at positions 28 to 334 of the family's 1533-position model. The record is from RNAcentral.
GAUGAACGCUGGCGGCGUGCCUAACACAUGCAAGUCGAGCGAAGCACUCUACCUGAUUUCUUCGGGAUGAAGGUUUAGUGACUGAGUGGCGGACGGGUGAGUAACGCGUGGGUAACCUGCCUCAUACAGGGGGAUAACAGUUAGAAAUGGCUGCUAAUACCGCAUAAGCGCACAGUACCACAUGGUACGGUGUAGAAAAACUCCGGUGGUAUGAGAUGGACCCGCGUCUGAUUAGCUAGUUGGCAGGGUAACGGCCUACCAAGGCGACGAUCAGUAGCCGACCUGAGAGGGUGAUCGGCCACAUUGGGACUGAGACACGGCCCAA